This 87-nucleotide transfer RNA is filed under the name Candidatus Vidania fulgoroideorum. RNAcentral describes it as "Candidatus Vidania fulgoroideae tRNA-Tyr". It matches the Rfam family "tRNA". Rfam says of the family: Transfer RNA (tRNA) molecules are approximately 80 nucleotides in length. Their secondary structure includes four short double-helical elements and three loops (D, anti-codon, and T loops). Further hydrogen bonds mediate the characteristic L-shaped molecular structure. tRNAs have two regions of fundamental functional importance: the anti-codon, which is responsible for specific mRNA codon recognition, and the 3' end, to which the tRNAs corresponding amino acid is attached (by aminoacyl-tRNA synthetases). tRNAs cope with the degeneracy of the genetic code in two manners: having more than one tRNA (with a specific anti-codon) for a particular amino acid; and 'wobble' base-pairing, i.e. permitting non-standard base-pairing at the 3rd anti-codon position. Lineage: Bacteria; Pseudomonadati; Pseudomonadota; Betaproteobacteria. The record is from RNAcentral.
GAAGAAGUGCCUGAGUGGUUAAAAGGGGCAGACUGUAAAUCUGUUGAUUGAGAUAUAUCUUCGGUGGUUCAAAUCCAUUCUUCUUCA